UUAACCUGGUUGAUCCUGCCAGUAGUCAUAUGCUUGUCUCAAAGAUUAAGCCAUGCAUGUCUAAGUAUAAGCACUUUAUACUGUGAAACUGCGAAUGGCUCAUUAAAUCAGUUAUAGUUUACUUGAUAGUACCUUACUACUUGGAUAACCGUGGUAAUUCUAGUGCUAAUACAUGCUGCAAUCCCCGACUUUUG
RNAcentral lists this ribosomal RNA (194 nucleotides) under uncultured eukaryote. RNAcentral's name for it is "partial 18S ribosomal RNA". It matches the Rfam family "Eukaryotic small subunit ribosomal RNA", at positions 1 to 192 of the family's 1831-position model. The record is from RNAcentral.